CCAAGGGCAGUCUACAUGCUCAGGACACCAAACGCCUGCCCACGAAGCACAACCCUCCAAGGACAGCCAACGGAAGGAAGCCAGAGGCCGGAGAGGGCGUCAGCAGGUGCACUGGGACGCUGGGCUCUGAUCACAGCCCCACAUGGCUCCUCCUCUGCAGGCUGGGCUGGGCUGGACCUGGUCACCUCAUGGCCUGCUGUUUUGGGAGCAGUUUGUUUUUACCACUUUGGACUGAGGCAAACCAUGUGCAGUAAAUAGCACAACCCUUAACUCUUCUGGUUCAGUGAGUCUUCUUUUUUGAGAUGGAGUCUCACUCUAUUGCCCAGGCUAGAGUGCAGUGGCACAAUUUCAGCUCACUGCAACCUCCGCCUCCUGGGUUCAAGCGAUUCUCCUGCCUCAGCCUCCCUAGUAGCUGGGACUACAGGCGCCCAUCACCACACCCAGCUAAUUUUUGUAUUUUUAGCAGAGACAAGGUUUCACCAUGCUGGCCAGGCUGGUCUCAAAACUCCUGACCUCAGGUGUUCUGUCCACCUCGGCGUCCCAAGUGCUGGGAUGACAGGCGUAAGCCACCGCUCCCGGCCCACACCCAGCUAAUUUUUAUAUUUUCAGUAGAGAUGGGGUUUUGUUAUGUUGGCCAGGCUGGUCUCGAACUCCUGGCCUCAAGUGAUCCACCCGCCUCAGCCUCCCAAAGUACUGGGAUUACAGACAUGAGCCACCACACCCAGCCAGCCCUAUCUCUUAGAAAAGAAAGAAAGAAAGAAAGAUUCUGUUUGUUUUUAUUUCUUCUGACCCGUAAGAUGUGAGAAAAGAUUCUGACCUCAUAAACAAGCCACCACCUUCUCACCAGAGUCAGGGCUUCUGGAAAUGUGAACAGCCCACAAGUUGUGAGCAAAAAGACUUUAAUGAAAAUGCUUUAAAAACUUAAGAGCCAGAUGCAGGGGUGUGCGUCUGUGACCCCAGCUACUUGGGAGGCUGAGGGAGCUCAUGUGAGCAAGAGGCUGAAAAACCCAAAAUUAAGAGUGAGAAGAGCAUGGAAGAGCAGCUUUCCAGCUGAGACGAUGAGCCCCCCCACUCAACUCGGACAGAAGAGUUAAGGGGAAACAGAUCUCAGAUAAGAAAACUAAGCAAAGACAUACAUAUGACAACCACAGAAAGCGGUCCCUGAGGGCUGGCUGGACUGAGAUGCCGGCAAAGUGGGCGAGAUGAGGGAGGCCUGGAGGCAGCAGCCGCAAUGCCUACCUCAGGGAUGAUUGCAGACAAGUCAGAACCCACACUAGGGGCCGGGCAUGCUGGCUCACGCCUGUAAUCCCAGCACUUUGAGAGGCCGAGGCGGGCGGAUCACCUGAGGUCAGGAGUUCGAGACCAGCCUGGCCAACAUGGUGAAACCCCGUCUCUACUAAAAAUACAAAAAUUAGCCGGGCAUGGUGGUGCGUGCCUACAAUCCCAGCUACUCGGGAGGCUGAGGCGGGAGAAUCGCUUGAGCCCGGGAAGCAGACGUUGCAAUGAGCCAAGAUCGCACCAUUGCACUCCAGCCUGGGGAACAAGAGCGAGACUUCGUCUCAAAAAAAAAGAACCCACACUAGGGAAAAGAACCCCGGAAAUGAGGGAGGUCACCAGAGUUCCAACAUCAAGUAUUCCUUGGAUUUUUGUUAAGCCAAGUCUACAUGCUGACACAUAAAUACUUUACCAUGGGACCCACCAAAUGCACUAGGGAAUGUAUGGAUAGGAAGACCAAUAUUGUUAAGAUGUCAAUACCACUGAAAG
This 1764-nucleotide non-coding RNA is filed under the name Pongo abelii (Sumatran orangutan). The record is from RNAcentral. Lineage: Eukaryota; Metazoa; Chordata; Mammalia; Primates; Hominidae.